GACACAGGAUUAUGACCUGUGAAUCAAAGACAAACGCUCACCAAAAUAAUCAACCCUCCCAGGAGCCUUGUACAGCCCAGGAGGAAGAUGCGGAUCCUUAACUCAGUCUGCAACCAGAAUCUUGACAGUCCUGAAAAUGGAAAAGCGUCUGGAGUUUUGGGUACUCCCAAUGCCCCAAUUAUCCUUUUAUUACCCUGAUUUACAACAUAACUUCAUAGGAGACGUUCUGAUGAGCAAAAUGACUUGGGUAACAAAAUGAUCUGGCAAAACCAGCAACUAAGAAAGAAAAAGAAUGGAUUUUCCAGUCUCUUUGACCCCUGAGAUCUCAAAGCCCCUGUGAAGAUCGAUCAGUUGGCAUGGCUGGAUUCAGACUUCCCAGGCCAAGAGGACUUGAAGAAAUGAUCAGAUGAAUCUCAGAAACUCAGAGUUUGAAUAAUAGUUGUCGGUUAUUGCACACUUGCUGUGUGCCAGGCAUGGUGCUCACUGCUGCCCAUGGAUCAUUUCACCUAAUUUCAUCUACCAGCCUGAUAUCUGCACAUGUGAGAACCUGAGACGUAGGGAGUUUGCACGGCUUUAGCUUUCGCAGAAGGAGUAACACAGGGUCAUACCAACUUACUCCAGUUACCAAUUCUGUGACCUCAGGGCUGUUUGUUGUCCAAAAAGCCUUUUUCCCUAAGCUUGAAAGCUUAACUUCUCAGAAGCAGGAAGCUGCCUUUUGCCAAGAGUAAAUGGGUGAGAAGUCCAAAGGUCUUGGUUUUGAAGUAUGUGCAACGAAUGUUCAAACAGGUUCUGAACAGAGCCAAAUCUACUUUUCUAUCUCCAAGAAAUCUCGAGAGAGCCAUGGGGCGGAAGUUUCAAGGAACAACGUCUCGUCCCAAACCGCAUGAAAUUGCAUUCCAAUCAGAAGCAUGGCCAAACCCACCAGAACGCAAAACGCAGGGAUGGAAGGACACUGACGACGAUGACCUUGUGAAAUGAGAGAAUUGUCUUGAAAGGGAGCGUUGUUACGGAAGAUGCUGAUUUCGGCAUUCCCUGUCUGAAGUGCUAACUAACCUCAUUGGGUUUUUGCUCUGCACCAGGUACUGAUAUCUAUACUUUUCCUGUGUAUUCACUUACUUGAUACCUGAUGGAGGAGGUAUUUUUCAGAGGAGAAAACUGAGUCAUGGACAAAGUCAGUGACGUGCCCGAGAUCGUUCAUCUAAGAUGUUGCAGAGCUGGGACUUGAACCUAGUUUGUCUGCCUCUGGGAUCUGAGCUGGUAAACAUCACAUGGCACUUUGUGGCUCGUUUGUGACUGGUCCGUCCAUUGGUGGAAAAUGGUUAGAAGUCCUACUCUGUGCCCCUCUGUGUGCCAGUACUUGGAGAUACUUCCUCCAGAUACUUCCCCAUGAAACUUAAUCUGGUGGUGGAAGACAAACAUAAAACAAAUAAUUGAUUUGAGCUCUGAGAAGUGCCACAAAGGCAACGCACAGGUAUAAUGAUGGGGGAGGGAGGGGUGGCACUUGGUCUGGGAAGUAGGGGAAAACUGUCUCUGUAAGGGACAUUUUAUCUCAGACCGGAAGACUGUUGUUAUGGGUUCAAUUCCAUCCUCUUCUCCCCAGCAUUCAUUUGUCAAAGUCCUAGCCCCUAGACCUCAGAAUGUGACCUUAUUUGGAAAUAGUGUUGUUGCUGAUGUAAUUAGUUAAGAUGAGGUUAGAGUAGAGUAGGAUGGGCCCCUGCUAUAAUAUGACUGGUAUCUUUAUAAAAAGGGGAAAUUUAGAGACAGACACACACACACAGGGAGAAGGACAUGAGAACAGGAGGCAGAGAUGAGGCUGGUAUUUCCACAAGCCAAGGAGUGCCAAAAACUGCCAGCAAAUCACCUUCAAAAGGAGCAUGACAUCUUGAUCUUGGACUUUCACAUUCCAGAACUGUGUUUUUAUCCACUCCCAUUGUGGUACCUUGUCAUGGCAGCCCUAGCAAACGAAUGCAGAGGGGAAGGUGCCAGUCAGGUGAGGAGGGAGUGGAGAGUAGGAGAGAGGGAAAAAGAAACAAAACCCAGGAAGAAGAGCUAGCAUGUGCAAAAUCCCCAACGGAGGAAGGAGCGUGACACAUUUGGGAAGGUGGAACCAGGGAGAGGGGAGGGUGGAAGAUGAAGCAGGUGGAACCAGAUUCUGGCGUCUCUAAUACACAACGUGGCAUUUCUAUGAAGGACGAUGUGAAACCAGUGAAGGGUUUUAACCAAGGGGCAACCAUAAUUGGAUCUGAAUUUUAAUAUCAUUGUUCUGUUGCUGUGUGGAAACUGAAUUUUGGGGGUGGUAGGAAAGAAUAAAUGUAGAACAGUUUAGAACCUAUUGUGUUUGUGCCCAGGAGUUUCAGCCGAAUUCUUCAGAUUGGUUAUUCUUCCAAACAGGCCAUUUUCCUCAAGCCAUUUCCCUACUCAGUACUCAGACACAUUCAUUGUUUACAGUGUACCAGGCUCUGAAACUGUGCUAUCCAAUAUGGUAGCCACUGGCCACGUGUGGCUCAUUUAAAUUAAAAUUAAAGACCAGUUGCUCUGUCUCACUGAGACGUGCCUAUGUGCUCCCUAGCCACAUCAUUCACUGAAAGUUCUGUUAGACAGCUCUGGUCUAGGGAAACACAGAGGAACAGGGCAUCAUCCCGUCCUUGUUUUUAGAGCAGUGAAAGAACUCGAGACAACUGGAUUUCGUAGACCAGCAAGAACUUUUUUUGUUUUUAAGUAUACUUUAAGUUUU
This 2734-nucleotide long non-coding RNA is filed under the name Homo sapiens (human). RNAcentral's name for it is "HSALNT0370718". Lineage: Eukaryota; Metazoa; Chordata; Mammalia; Primates; Hominidae. The record is from RNAcentral.